This 30-nucleotide small RNA is filed under the name Bombyx mori (domestic silkworm). Its description in RNAcentral is "ovarian small RNA-37133". Lineage: Eukaryota; Metazoa; Arthropoda; Insecta; Lepidoptera; Bombycidae. The record is from RNAcentral.
UUCCAGGUUGCUGAUAACGCGAGAGGCUUC